GGAAUAACCCUUCGAAAGGAGGGCUAAUACCGAAUCAGCCCACGAUCUCCUCGGAGAUUGAGGGAAAAGGUGGCCUCUGCAUGCAAGCUAUCGCCUGGAGAUGAGCCCGCGGCCCAUCAUGCUAGUUGGCGGGGUAACGGCCCACCAAGGCGACGACGGGUAGCUGGUCUGAGAGGACGAUCAGCCACACUGGAACUGAGACACGGUCCAGACUCCUACGGGAGGCAGCAGUGGGGAAUCUUGCGCAAUGGGCGAAAGCCUGACGCAGCAACGCCGCGUGGAGGAUGAAGCCCUUUGGGGCGUAAACUCCUUUCGACUCGGACGAUGAUGACGGUACGAGUGGAAGAAGCACCGGCUAACU
Molecule: ribosomal RNA, 361 nt
Filed under: uncultured bacterium
Lineage: Bacteria
Description: bacterial SSU rRNA
Rfam family: Bacterial small subunit ribosomal RNA
Source: RNAcentral